This 371-nucleotide ribosomal RNA is filed under the name uncultured organism. Its description in RNAcentral is "bacterial SSU rRNA". It matches the Rfam family "Bacterial small subunit ribosomal RNA", at positions 526 to 896 of the family's 1533-position model. The record is from RNAcentral.
CAGAGGUGCCGAGCGUUAGGCGGAAUCACUGGGCUUAAAGCGUGUGUAGGCGGGGCGUUAAGUGCUUUGUGAAAUCCCACGGCUCACCCGUGGAACUGCUUGGCAUACUGGCGCUCUUGAGCCACUUAGGGCAACUGGAACAAACGGUGGAGCGGUGAAAUGCGUAGAUAUCGUUUGGAACGCCAAUGGUGAAAACAGGUUGCUGGGAGUGUGCUGACGCUGAGACACGAAAGCCAGGGGAGCGAACGGGAUUAGAUACCCCGGUAGUCCUGGCCGUAAACGAUGUCGACUAGAUCCUGGCCGCUCUGACGCGGUCAGGGUCGAAGCAAAAGUGCUAAGUCGACCGCCUGGGAAGUACGGUCGCAAGGCUA